This 465-nucleotide ribosomal RNA is filed under the name uncultured bacterium. RNAcentral's name for it is "partial 16S ribosomal RNA". It matches the Rfam family "Bacterial small subunit ribosomal RNA", at positions 28 to 507 of the family's 1533-position model. The record is from RNAcentral.
GACGAACGCUGGCGGCGUGCUUAACACAUGCAAGUCGAACGGAAAGGCCCUGCUUGCAGGGUACUCGAGUGGCGAACGGGUGAGUAACACGUGGGUGAUCUGCCCUGCACUUCGGGAUAAGCCUGGGAAACUGGGUCUAAUACCGGAUAGGAGCCAUUUUUAGUGUGAUGGUUGGAAAGUUUUUUCGGUGUAGGAUGAGCUCGCGGCCUAUCAGCUUGUUGGUGGGGUAAUGGCCUACCAAGGCGGCGACGGGUAGCCGGCCUGAGAGGGUGGACGGCCACAUUGGGACUGAGAUACGGCCCAGACUCCUACGGGAGGCAGCAGUGGGGAAUAUUGCAUAAUGGGCGCAAGCCUGAUGCAGCGACGCCGCGUGGGGGAUGACGGCCUUCGGGUUGUAAACUCCUUUCGCUAGGGACGAAGCUUUUUGUGACGGUACCUAGAUAAGAAGCACCGGCUAACUACGUG